Molecule: non-coding RNA, 119 nt
Organism: Pteropus alecto (black flying fox)
Lineage: Eukaryota; Metazoa; Chordata; Mammalia; Chiroptera; Pteropodidae
Source: Rfam
GUCUAUGGCCAUGCCACCCUGAACAAGCCCAAUCCCAUCUGAACUCGGAAGCUAAGCAAGGUCCAGCCUGGUUAGUACUUGGAUGGGAGACCACCUAGGAAGACCAAGGGCUGUAGGCA